This 335-nucleotide ribosomal RNA is filed under the name uncultured bacterium. RNAcentral's name for it is "bacterial SSU rRNA". It matches the Rfam family "Bacterial small subunit ribosomal RNA", at positions 1 to 334 of the family's 1533-position model. The record is from RNAcentral.
AGUCAGGUAGUUUGACUCCGUGGCUACAGGACGAACGCUGGCGGCGUGCUUAACACAUGCAAGUCGAACGGAAAGGCCCAGCUUUGCUGGGUACUCGAGUGGCGAACGGGUGAGUAACACGUGGGUGAUCUGCCCUGAACUCUGGGAUAAGCCUGGGAAACUGGGUCUAAUACCGGAUAUGACCACAUGUCGCAUGGUGUGUGGUGGAAAGCUUUUGCGGUUUGGGAUGGGCCCGCGGCCUAUCAGCUUGUUGGUGGGGUAAUGCCUACCAAGGCGACGACGGGUAGCCGACCUGAGAGGGUGAUCGGCCACACUGGGACUGAGACACGGCCCAG